RNAcentral lists this ribosomal RNA (586 nucleotides) under Alternaria tenuissima. Its description in RNAcentral is "eukaryotic LSU rRNA". It matches the Rfam family "Eukaryotic large subunit ribosomal RNA", at positions 65 to 666 of the family's 3401-position model. The record is from RNAcentral. Lineage: Eukaryota; Fungi; Ascomycota; Dothideomycetes; Pleosporales; Pleosporaceae.
CCCGGGUAUUGCCCUAGUAACGGCGAGUGAAGCGGCAACAGCUCAAAUUUGAAAUCUGGCUCUUUUAGAGUCCGAGUUGRAAUUUGCAGAGGGCGCUUUGGCUUUGGCAGCGGUCCAAGUUCCUUGGAACAGGACGUCACAGAGGGUGAGAAUCCCGUACGUGGUCGCUGGCUAUUGCCGUGUAAAGCCCCUUCGACGAGUCGAGUUGUUUGGGAAUGCAGCUCUAAAUGGGAGGUACAUUUCUUCUAAAGCUAAAUAUUGGCCAGAGACCGAUAGCGCACAAGUAGAGUGAUCGAAAGAUGAAAAGCACUUUGGAAAGAGAGUCAAACAGCACGUGAAAUUGUUGAAAGGGAAGCGCUUGCAGCCAGACUUGCUUACAGUUGCUCAUCCGGGUUUCUACCCGGUGCACUCUUCUGUAGGCAGGCCAGCAUCAGUUUGGGCGGUAGGAUAAAGGUCUCUGUCACGUACCUCCUUUCGGGGAGGCCUUAUAGGGGAGACGACAUACUACCAGCCUGGACUGAGGUCCGCGCAUCUGCUAGGAUGCUGGCGUAAUGGCUGUAAGCGGCCCGUCUUGAAACACAAGGAC